AAAAACAAAAGUAAACCAACCAGUAUUCGAGCAUAUGAACUAAAUGGGAAGUGAAAAUAGUCUCUGUAAUUAGGAUAACUUGCUAAGCAGUAAACAUGUAUAAAUUUCCAACUUAACAGGACGAAAUACCCACCAAAUCAGUGAUGGAUAUGAAAAGGAUUUACAUCACCUGAAACAUGACAAUCUCUGCGGCUUGGGUUUCUUUUGUUUUUUCUUUUUAUUCUCU
Molecule: unclassified non-coding RNA, 226 nt
Filed under: Hevea brasiliensis (rubber tree)
Lineage: Eukaryota; Viridiplantae; Streptophyta; Magnoliopsida; Malpighiales; Euphorbiaceae
Source: RNAcentral